This 689-nucleotide ribosomal RNA is filed under the name uncultured fungus. RNAcentral describes it as "eukaryotic LSU rRNA". The stretch from base 252 to 405 matches the Rfam family "5.8S ribosomal RNA". Lineage: Eukaryota; Fungi. The record is from RNAcentral.
GGAAGGAUCAUUAUUGAAUAAACUUGAGCAGGCUGUUGCUGGCCCCUUUGGGGGGGUAUCGUGCACGCUUGUCAUCUUUAUCUCUCCCACUGUGCACAUAUUGUAGUCCCUGGAGUUGUAAUUGUUCAUAUUGAUAGAUUGAGGACUGCUUUCAAAGCUUUUCCUUGCUUCUCCAGGUCUAUGUCAUUUUUUCACAAUCUCUAAACUAGAAUGUUGAAUUGGGUCUUUGUACCUAUAAAGUUUAAAUAUACAACUUUCAGCAACGGAUCUCUUGGCUCUCGCAUCGAUGAAGAACGCAGCGAAAUGCGAUAAGUAAUGUGAAUUGCAGAAUUCAGUGAAUCAUCGAAUCUUUGAACGCAUCUUGCGCUCCUUGGUAUUCCGAGGAGCAUGCCUGUUUGAGUGUCAUUAAGUUCUCAACUGCACCAGUUCUUAACCACUGGUGUGGCUUGGAUAGUGGGGGAUUGUGUUUGCAGGCUUUAAAUUCAAAGUCUGCUCCCCUGAAAUGCAUCAGUAGUAUCUGAGCAGAACUACUACAGGCGUGAUAAUUAUCUAUGCCUUGGUGGACUUGCAUGAACAGAUUACACUGCUUCUAACAAGUGAAAACCCUCAAAAGUUUCACCUUUGACAAAUUUGACCUCAAAUCAGGUAGGACUACCCGCUGAACUUAAGCAUAUCAAUAAGCGGAGGAA